AGUUUGUAAUCUAUUAACGAGCUCAAUGAUCGGAGGUUGUCGCUGAUUUUGGCCGGUUUCGAACGUAACGAAGAACCAGGAACGUUGAUCACGUAACGAUUUACAUAGAUAGUUUAUCGCGACGGACGUUGCUUAUCUAACGAGAGAGAUAUUGUGAAGCUUUUAAUUAAAAUAUUAAUCGACGACACACCGACUAACGUUAAUCUUCGUAAUUUCGAAUUAUGUGUACUAUGCAUAAAAGAAGAAACAAUUGUGAACUGAUUUUGUACGGUUCUGAAGGAUGUCUUGAGAUUCGUAUCUUUUUGCGUAAUGUAAAGCUCGCGGUGCCGCCAGUAGAAAGAAAACCACGUCCACAAAGGGAAGAAGCCGGUUAUUUCGGUGCUAAUUAAGUGACGACGUCCGCGCGUACACGGCCAUCAGGAGCGGUGCCUAAUUGGCACGGGAGCAACAACGGACAUCCUUAAUUGGUUAAUUUGCGAAGAGGCUCGGCAACCGAUGCAUCACGACACGCUCGACUAUUGCAGGAUGCAGUUGCCCCUGGCCAUCUCGGGAUAAUCGUCCUGACGUUCUCUCUCGUUUCGUUGAAUCGGGGCCGAAUUCGCUGAGCCACAAGGACUACGAUACCGCCUUAACGAUAUUUCGAACAACCUUCCUUCUCUUCUAUGACAAGUUCCUGCAGUACGUGACCAAAUUCGCAACUAUGACUAGCGGGCAGCGGAACAAGUCCGUGGUACAUCCAGAACAACGGUACGCGUACAUGCCGUGUCCGCUCUACGACACCGGUUGGUACUUGUGAAGUGUCGUUUAUUUGAGGUUAGAAUUUGACGAACCACUACUACUUAUUGGCCUUUGACUUAUUGUUGAUUAACAACUGUAUCAAGGAACAGGAAAUUUACCAUAGUCAACGUGUUGAAAUUAUUCAGUAUACUAUUUAUCACUCUAAAGAUCAUGGCAGUCAAAGUGUUAGGUGUAACUACACGUUCAUUUCCCUUGCUCUGAACAAUGAAUCAGGAAACUUCGUAGUUUGAAUCGCGGUGAAUUUCAAACGAAACAGUGUCCAGUUUGUGUCGAACUCUCCUUUGUUCGAAACAAGAGAAAAUCGCGCGGUUAAUACCUUAAGUGUGCUACAAAGUAGCGAGAUGUUAAGAAAUACUUCCGGCCUCUCUCCGUUUCCGUAGGCUUCUUAUGAUUGCCGUUCCACUUACUUGUUAUUUGUCAUUGGAAUGCAAACAGAGGGAGAGACCGCGUAUUCUAUAAGAUCUCCCCGUCGAUUCGUGAAAGUUGCCGGCCAGGAGUUGGUAAUAAAGGAAAUUGGAUUCCUAUAGCAGGCGAAUAAAGUUUCAGAACGGCCGAAUCAGAACGAAACACUUCGGCCUGGCUGGCUUUGCCGCGAGAUCCUCCAGUUACUUUGUAUCUAAAUGUCGCCCGGCUUAACAAAGACCGACUAAUAAAUAAGCUUCUUCACCGAACUUUUAAAUAGACCGCCGUUCUUCGCGGCGUUCGUUUGCCACGAGAAUGAUCAUUGGAUCUUUCUUGUCGGCGGGCAAAAGAAACAGGAAAGGUGCUAGCAGAGAAUAA
This is a long non-coding RNA of Frieseomelitta varia, 1578 nucleotides long. RefSeq lists it as uncharacterized. Lineage: Eukaryota; Metazoa; Arthropoda; Insecta; Hymenoptera; Apidae. The record is from RefSeq and is a predicted model, not a curated record. The transcript is spliced from 4 exons.